RNAcentral lists this ribosomal RNA (480 nucleotides) under Triatoma pseudomaculata. Its description in RNAcentral is "eukaryotic LSU rRNA". The record is from RNAcentral. Lineage: Eukaryota; Metazoa; Arthropoda; Insecta; Hemiptera; Reduviidae.
UGAGAUGGCCUCUCGCCCUAUUCAGUGUAACAGCUGUGGUAGUGGGUUUGGUCGCUCGCAUUUAAAUUGGAAGGGUAAUGGUGGACCGCACUUCUCCCUUAGUAGGACGUUGCGACCUGUCAAAUAAUAUCCUAAGUAUUUGGCUAAUUUGUCUGUUUUUAGGCAGUACUGAAAGGUAUUUCCUUUAACAGUUUUAGCCGUUUACAUACUGGAUAUAAUUGACAGUAACGAAUCAUGGUGUUGAGCCACUUACUUUGUAAGUGUCCUUUAUGGCUGUUUGCAAGUGGGUUGGUUAAUUAGUUUUAGUCGGAUUUUGGUCCGUCUAACUAUUCCGCCUACUGUUGGUAAACUGUUCCUUGGACAGUGCUUAUAACACCGGUCGGCAGCGAUUCAGGUUCAGGCUCUUAUCCGACCCGUCUUGAAACACGGACCAAGGAGUUUAGCGUGUACGCAAGUCAUUGGGUGUAUAAAACCCAAAGG